This 3626-nucleotide long non-coding RNA is filed under the name Homo sapiens (human). RNAcentral describes it as "HSALNT0341486". Lineage: Eukaryota; Metazoa; Chordata; Mammalia; Primates; Hominidae. The record is from RNAcentral.
UUUUUCCCUAAGUUGAAAGAGCACACCCAUUACAUAUAAUGUUUAGCAAUAUGAGUUAAGUUUUGUCAUAAUUCAUUAAAGCUGAUUUCAGGGGAAAAAUACAAGCCUUUUUUAAGUCUUAUAUUUAAUAACAAAUAUAACUUCGGAUUGCUAAAGAACAUUCUUGGCAAGAGGAAAUGAAGGAGUUAUGGAAUAGAAGCCCAGUGAUCCAACUGGAGGAAGUUUUGAUUCUAAGAAAGUCUGGGGGUUAGCGGGAGUGCAGGACAACCAAGGGCCUGGGUAGCAACGGUGGGGAUGACGGGAGCUAUGGAACCUGGCUGAACACCGUGUUCUGCUCAGCAAGAAUGUGCUGCUUAAAGAACAUCCAGAGCACUGACCAAAACAGAUGCCAGGUCUAGACGGCAGGAUGAGGUGAAAGUCCAGGAACAGAGGACAACGGCAGGCCCCUCAGGCAGGAGAGAAUAUAAGUCAAAGAUGCAUUUUUAAGAGAACUUGGAGAAAGGGGGUUUUGUAAGAGACGACAGAGAAAUGAAGUUGCCAGGACAUCUCCGCUCCAAGAAUAGCCAGAGGAACUUGGUCUGAACAUGCCCUUAAGAAUGACUAUGCUAGCCAGGCGCAAUGGCUCACACCUGUAAUCCCAGCACUUUGGGAGGACGAGGCGGGCAGAUCACCUGAAGUCAGGAGUUUGAGAGCACCGUGCCCAACAGGGUCUCUACUAAAAAAUACACCAAUUAGCCGGGUGUCGUGACGCACACCUGUAGUCCCAGUUACUCGCGAGGCUGAGGCAGGAGAACUGCUUAAACCCAGGAGGUGGAAGUUGCAGUGAGCUGAGAUUGCACCACUGCACUCCAGCUUGGGCGACAGAGACUCCAUUUCUCCAAAAAAAAAAAAAAAAAAAAAAAAAAAGAGAAUGACUAUGCACUAACGUAAGCCUGCCUAGCUGUAGCGUCCCAGAACAGCUAGCAAAGUUCAGCACUGGUCCACUGUGUUUGCUAUAGUUUGUACUAGGCCUUUUUCCUUAAUCUUUGCUUUUGCUCUGAUCUAAUUCAGACAUGAUCAUCAGUUUAAAAAUAAGUGGAGCUGAAUUUUUGUAGGUUUCUGUUUCUCAAUCUAAUAUCCUGCAUGAGGAGUGGUUCCUUACCUCCUACCCUCCCACCCCUCAAAGAUCUGACCUAAGGUGGGACAUGAAAUCAGAAAAACUAAAAUGUCUGUGACUUUUGAGGAUGGAAAAGAUUGUACUGGGGAUUAAUCCAGAGAAACCUACACAUGAGGCGAAAGUUGCUGGAAAUAAUUUGGAAAGAACUGGGCUUAGUACUCAGGAGAGGAUUUAAAAAUGGUUCAGGUGGCAAGAGAUCUCCUGCAUGUUGUAAUCAUUUUGCAGCGACCAAAUGACUAGGACAUGGGAGAAAAAAAGGGGAGAACCCCCCACCCUGCCCCCACAGUGAAUACAGUUUGAGUCUGUAAUCCUGGACCUGAAAGGCCAGGAGAAGGAGCUACCCAGGCAGCACAGAAGCCUGGAAUGUGUGCCCCCACUCCCGGCAGAAGCCACACUGUGGGGCAGAAACACUCAACCCUUCCACGUGCUAUUCAUGAGCAUCAGGGAAGGGGAAGAAAGAAGAGAUGUAUGUGGACUGGAGCUUUUCCCUUGUUUUUCCAAAUUAAAUAAGCUGCUGCUCUUCCUUCAUUCUCCUGGCUCUUUCCCUACCCCACCGCCGCCAUACCGCGGCCCCUCAUGGUCCUCCCCGCUCUGAGCUCAGGCCCUGGAGGAACUGGAAGUGCUCCUGUCGCUGCUCAGCUGCUGAACUGGUCUUCUGACCAUGCCUCUUUCCUGCAACAACUCUUUGGCAACCCUCCUCCAAAACGUCCCAGUUUCCCUCCCUGCCCCUUGAUCUGGUGCCAGAGGGGACGGUAACAAAACACAAAACAAAAACACAACAAAGAGGCCAUGGAGCCAGUGCCAGCAAGCAAUGAGAGGGAGAAAUGGAGCCCAGUGGAGUUCUUCUCCCUAAAGGAAAAUUAAAAGACAGAUGAUCAGCUAGCUCCCAGAAGUUCUGCCUCGGGCCUAAAUGAAAUAAAUGAAAAGGGUGAGAAAUCCUAAUGAAAUCACCAAUCCAAACAACACAACGACCUGAGGGCGCUAAGGGUCAAGGUUCAGGACAAUUCAAGGAGAAGCAGUCAGGCCUGUGGUUUUACAACCCAAGCCCUGGGCUUGGCCACCAGCACAGGAGAGCAAAGGGCCCGACCAACCCCUUUCCUUCCACAUCUCAGUGAUGAGCGUGGUGUGACUGAGCGCCUACUGCACACCGAUGCCCAUAAGAUGUGGUCUUCAGCAUAGGACUCCUUGAACAGGUAAACCAGGGUACGGCUACACGCUCCGCUGGAGAAUUUCUCACUUUACGAAAGGAGCUGUGUGCUCAGGUUCCUACACCAGUAAGUACAGGGAAUAUGAUUGUGUUUUCAGCUUCAUUUCGACUGACUCUAAACAAUGUAAAUCUAUGAGCUACAAAAUUCCACCUGUCAAAAAUUGCAUUUACAUGCAGUUUUUCAGGAAGGUGUCUGUUCUAUAAAUUGAGGUGUACCAGUGCUAUGUGCUAAGGAGUAAAGAAGAGCAAGAAAAGAAAGCGGGUCCUGACUUCUGCCCGCAGCACUCCCAGGUUAAGGGAGAGGUGCAGGUCUCACGGGACCAGCGCAGCAGUCACCAGACGUGUUAAUGCCUUGUUCUCUCAACCAAUAAGAACGUAACUGUUAAUUGGUAUUUCUAACAAGUACACACACAUCCAGGACUACUGGUGUUUCCUGCUCCACCCUCAUCCCUGCCACCCACUCUUCCACCCCAUCACCCAAGGCAGAUGUGCCAUCUCCUUUCCAACUACAGAAGACGGAACUCAUGAUAAAUCUUCCUGAUGUCACCGACCUAGAGCCUGGGAAAGGAAAAAGACGACAGGGGAAAUGGUCCUGUAUUAACCUCAAUGUAGCCAGCCAAUUGUUCUUCAUCCAGCGUUCGUAAUUUUUAUUUCUAGAGAGCUACCCUGGGAAGGCCUAAGCAGAUGAGCCACACCGUCCAAGCUGUGAGUUCAGCCAGUGUCCAGUCUGGAAGGCAGAGAACAAUGCGUGUGUGAUCCUGAGCUGGGCUGCCUGGGGUGCUGGUGCAGGUUAGCCCUGCAGCCGGCCAGCCUCUGGGCCCCUGCCAGGCUGCCGACCAGCCAGGGGAAGUGAAUGUGCUCAGCGUGAGAGUGCCAGCUGGCUAGGCUUUCUCCCCAGGGGGGAGGCUGUAAGCACAGAUUACCAGUGACUUUGUUCAGUUCUGCUGCCGUGCUCCCCGAGGAGAGGAACAUCACAGCCCAGCAUCAGUACUAAUAGGCCCUGAUGCGCCAGACCCAGGCUAAGAAGGCCAGCGUGGGGGUGGGGGUGCAGCAGAGAGGAGGACAAAAGCCACGCCUCUGAAGCUGUCAACUGGCUCUGAGGCUGACAAGGAAGCACUCUCUGCAGCAAGUUCCAAUCCCUGCCGCAGGAAGGAAUAAUUUCACCACUUUCUCACUAUUUACUGUCCACAGCAAAAAGAAACCCCCACACCUCCACUUAGCACCAUCGUGAGCAUCCCUAGAGUCCAAUAAAUUACAGAAGAG